CAUCUAGGCGGUUAUUCAAGCUUGGUGUGAAAUCCCGGGGCUUAACUCCGGAACUGCAUUGAGAACUAGAUAACUUGAGUCACUGAAGGGCAAUCAGAAUUCCAGGUGUAGGGGUGAAAUCUGUAGAUAUCUGGAAGAGUACCAAUGGCGAAGGCAGAUUACCGGCAGAUGACUGACGCUGAAGUGCGAAGGUGCGGGGAGCAAACA
This 207-nucleotide ribosomal RNA is filed under the name uncultured bacterium. Its description in RNAcentral is "partial 16S ribosomal RNA". It matches the Rfam family "Bacterial small subunit ribosomal RNA", at positions 568 to 774 of the family's 1533-position model. The record is from RNAcentral.